ACUAACAGAUGUAAAAGGCAUCAUUUCCAAGGUUCAAGGACCUCAUUUGGAUGAAAACCAAUAAAUGUAAAGAAAGCCAAUGAAGGCAACGGAGAACAAGAUGAGAAAAAGGGAGCAGAGUGACGCGAAAGAAGAAGGGGAAAUAAGGCCAACCUAAUUCCGGCAUGAUGGGGAGCAUUUUGUUGAUGCUAAAUGCUCUUGCGGACUCGGAGAGGAACAGGACUCGUACAAUCACAGUGUUGCUGGAAAAGU
Hyaena hyaena (striped hyena) is the source of this 252-nucleotide long non-coding RNA. RefSeq lists it as uncharacterized. The record is from RefSeq and is a predicted model, not a curated record. Lineage: Eukaryota; Metazoa; Chordata; Mammalia; Carnivora; Hyaenidae. The transcript is spliced from 3 exons.